This 261-nucleotide ribosomal RNA is filed under the name uncultured bacterium. RNAcentral's name for it is "partial 16S ribosomal RNA". It matches the Rfam family "Bacterial small subunit ribosomal RNA", at positions 524 to 777 of the family's 1533-position model. The record is from RNAcentral.
UACGAAGGGGGCUAGCGUUGCUCGGAAUCACUGGGCGUAAAAGGGUGCGUAGGCGGGUCUUUAAGUCAGGGGUGAAAUCCUGGAGCUCAACUCCAGAACUGCCCUUUGAUACUGAAGAUCUUGAGUUCGGGAGAGGUGAGUGGAACUGCGAGUGUAGAGGUGAAAAUUCGUAGAUAUUCGCAAAGAACACCAGUGGCGAAGGCGGCUCACUGGCCCCGAUACUGACGCUGAGGCACGAAAAGCGUGGGGGAGCAAACAGGG